GACGAACGCUGGCGGCGUGCUUAACACAUGCAAGUCGAACGGAAAGGCCCUGCUUUUGUGGGGUGCUCGAGUGGCGAACGGGUGAGUAACACGUGAGUAACCUGCCCUUGACUUUGGGAUAACUUCAGGAAACUGGGGCUAAUACCGGAUAGGAGCUCCUGCUGCAUGGUGGGGGUUGGAAAGUUUCGGCGGUUGGGGAUGGACUCGCGGCUUAUCAGCUUGUUGGUGGGGUAGUGGCUUACCAAGGCUUUGACGGGUAGCCGGCCUGAGAGGGUGACCGGCCACAUUGGGACUGAGAUACGGCCCAGACUCCUACGGGAGGCAGCAGUGGGGAAUAUUGCACAAUGGGCGGAAGCCUGAUGCAGCAACGCCGCGUGCGGGAUGACGGCCUCCGGGUUGUAAACCGCUUUCGCCUGUGACGAAGCGUGAGUGACGGUAAUGGGCAAAGAAGCACCGGUUAACUACGUG
RNAcentral lists this ribosomal RNA (468 nucleotides) under uncultured bacterium. RNAcentral describes it as "partial 16S ribosomal RNA". It matches the Rfam family "Bacterial small subunit ribosomal RNA", at positions 28 to 507 of the family's 1533-position model. The record is from RNAcentral.